RNAcentral lists this unclassified non-coding RNA (336 nucleotides) under uncultured fungus. RNAcentral describes it as "partial contains internal transcribed spacer 2 and large subunit ribosomal RNA". Lineage: Eukaryota; Fungi. The record is from RNAcentral.
AACGCAUAUUGCGCUCCUUUUGGAGCAUGUUUGUUUGAGAACCGUUUCAACCCUCACACCCCUCAUAUUUAUUUACGUGGGGAACCGUGGAAAUGGAAGGUUUCCAAUUGAUUAGUACUAUUGGAAUCCUAUCUGAAAAAAAAUGUCGGUUUUUUUGCUUGUGGAAACCUACAAGACGUGAUGAUGCGGUUAUUAUGACUGCUUUUCAUCGUCGGUCAGGAGAAACAAAGCGCUUUAUGGAAAACGACAAACCAGGCAAUCGAACCUUUUUUUUGGGAACGAUUGAAAUACCUGAACUAUGGUCUCAAAUCAAGCAAGAGGACCCGCUGAACUUAA